RNAcentral lists this ribosomal RNA (468 nucleotides) under uncultured bacterium. RNAcentral's name for it is "partial 16S ribosomal RNA". It matches the Rfam family "Bacterial small subunit ribosomal RNA", at positions 28 to 507 of the family's 1533-position model. The record is from RNAcentral.
GACGAACGCUGGCGGCGUGCUUAACACAUGCAAGUCGAACGGAAAGGCCCUGCUUUUGUGGGGUGCUCGAGUGGCGAACGGGUGAGUAACACGUGAGUAACCUGCCCUUGACUUUGGGAUAACUUCAGGAAACUGGGGCUAAUACCGGAUAGGAGCUCCUGCUGCAUGGUGGGGGUUGGAAAGUUUCGGCGGUUGGGGAUGGACUCGCGGCUUAUCAGCUUGUUGGUGGGGUAGUGGCUUACCAAGGCUUUGACGGGUAGCCGGCCUGAGAGGGUGACCGGCCUCAUUGGGACUGAGGUACGGCCCAGACUCCUACGGGAGGCAGCAGUGGGGAAUAUUGCACAAUGGGCGGAAGCCUGAUGCAGCAACGCCGCGUGCGGGAUGACGGCCUUCGGGUUGUAAACCGCUUUCGCCUGUGACGAAGCGUGAGUGACGGUAAUGGGUAAAGAAGCACCGGCUAACUACGUG